RNAcentral lists this ribosomal RNA (1388 nucleotides) under uncultured bacterium. RNAcentral describes it as "bacterial SSU rRNA". It matches the Rfam family "Bacterial small subunit ribosomal RNA", at positions 8 to 1383 of the family's 1533-position model. The record is from RNAcentral.
AGAGUUUGAUCCUGGCUCAGGAUGAACGCUAGCGGCAGGCUUAACACAUGCAAGUCGAGGGGCAGCGGGGAGGAAGCUUGCUUUCCCCGCCGGCGACCGGCGCACGGGUGAGUAACACGUAUGCAACCUGCCCCUGUCAGGGGGACAACCCGCCGAAAGGCGGGCUAAACCCGCGUACAUGCCACCGGGGCAUCCCGGAGGCAGGAAAGGCUUCGGCCGGACAGGGAUGGGCAUGCGGCGCAUUAGGCAGUAGGCGGGGUAACGGCCCACCUAACCGACGAUGCGUAGGGGUUCUGAGAGGAAGGUCCCCCACACUGGUACUGAGACACGGACCAGACUCCUACGGGAGGCAGCAGUGAGGAAUAUUGGUCAAUGGUCGGGAGACUGAACCAGCCAAGCCGCGUGAGGGAGGAAGGUACAGAGUAUCGUAAACCUCUUUUGUCAGGGAACAAAGGCGGGGACGUGUCCCCGGAUGAGUGUACCUGAAGAAAAAGCAUCGGCUAACUCCGUGCCAGCAGCCGCGGUAAUACGGAGGAUGCGAGCGUUAUCCGGAUUUAUUGGGUUUAAAGGGUGCGCAGGCGGUCUGUUAAGUCAGCGGUCAAAGCCCGGGGCUCAACCCCGGCCCGCCGUUGAAACUGGCAGUCUCGAGUUGGAGAGAAGUAUGCGGAAUGCGCGGUGUAGCGGUGAAAUGCAUAGAUAUCGCGCAGAACUCCGAUUGCGAAGGCAGCAUGCCGGCUCCACACUGACGCUGAGGCACGAAAGCGUGGGUAUCGAACAGGAUUAGAUACCCUGGUAUUCCACGCAGUAAACGAUGAAUGCUGGCUUGUCCGGGGGGACUGACCCCUGGGUGGCGAAACCGAAAGCGAUAAGCAUUCCACCUGGGGAGUACGCCGGCAACGGUGAAACUCAAAGGAAUUGACGGGGGCCCGCACAAGCGGAGGAACAUGUGGUUUAAUUCGAUGAUACGCGAGGAACCUUACCCGGGCUCAAACGGGGAGUGGCGCAGGCAGAGACGCCUGUUUCCCACGGGACACUCCCCGAGGUGCUGCAUGGUUGUCGUCAGCUCGUGCCGUGAGGUGUCGGCUUAAGUGCCAUAACGAGCGCAACCCCCGCGUGCAGUUGCUAACAGUCAACGCUGAGGACUCUGCACGGACUGCCGGCGCAAGCCGCGAGGAAGGCGGGGAUGACGUCAAAUCAGCACAGCCCUUACGUCCGGGGCGACACACGUGUUACAAUGGGUGGUACAGCGGGAAGCCAGGCGGCGACGCCGAGCGGAACCCGAAAUCCACUCUCAGUUCGGAUCGGAGUCUGCAACCCGACUCAGUGAAGCUGGAUUCGCUAGUAAUCGCGCAUCAGCCAUGGCGCGGUGAAUACGUUCCCGGGCCUUG